AGCGGGCAGGAGGUGGAUGGCACAGAACAACCGCAGUGCAGACACCACGGCCUGAGGCCCCGAAUGCAGUUCAGCAGCACCCGCUGCGGUGAUAUGUGCGGGGCCCUUAAGGGGCCCUUUGAGAAACCCCGGUGGCACUGGCCGAAUGCCUGGAACUGCAUGUGUUACGUGAAAACAAGUCUGGAGCGAGCAGGCGAAUCUGUCCCCUGAUGUCUGGGAAAGGGAGUGAGCCCGGUAAUCCAGGAGUGUGGGACAGUCAAG
Herpailurus yagouaroundi (jaguarundi) is the source of this 261-nucleotide long non-coding RNA. RefSeq lists it as uncharacterized. NCBI's taxonomy places the organism in Eukaryota, Metazoa, Chordata, Mammalia, Carnivora, Felidae. The transcript has 2 exons. The record is from RefSeq and is a predicted model, not a curated record.